Molecule: ribosomal RNA, 119 nt
Filed under: Gossypium arboreum
Lineage: Eukaryota; Viridiplantae; Streptophyta; Magnoliopsida; Malvales; Malvaceae
Source: RNAcentral
AGGUGUGAUCAUACCAGCACUAAUGCACCAGAUCCCAUCAGAACUCCGCAGUUAAGUAUGCUUGGGCGAGAGUAGUUCUAGGAUGGGUAACCUCCUUGGAAGUUCUGUUGUUGCACCCC